GUUUCCGUAGGUGAACCUGCGGAAGGAUCAUUACCGAGUGCGGGAACCCAGUCGGGUCCCAAUCUCCCACCCGUGUCUACCACACCUAGUGUUGCUUUGGCGGGCCCACUCCUCCGGUGUUCCGCCGGGGGGGUCGUCCCGGGGCGCGGUGUGCCCCCGGGGCCCGUGCCCGCCAGAGGCACUCACUGUGAACGCUUUUGUGAAUGCGAGGAUUGUCUGAGUGACGAAAUGCAAUCGUUCAAAACUUUCAACAAUGGAUCUCUUGGUUCCGGCAUCGAUGAAGAACGCAGCGAAAUGCGAUAAGUAAUGUGAAUUGCAGAAUUCCGUGAAUCAUCGAAUCUUUGAACGCACAUUGCGCCCUCUGGUAUUCCGGGGGGCAUGCCUGUCCGAGCGUCAUUGCGAACCCUCAAGCACGGCUUGUGUGUUGGGCCGCCGUCCCCUCGUUUGGAGGGGACGGGCCUGAAAGGCAGCGGCGGCGUCGCGUCCGGUCCUCGAGCGUAUGGGGCUCUGUCACGCGCUCAAGGAGGGGUCCGGCCGGGGCCAUAGCCUCUGAAGGUCAAUUCUUCCAAGGUUGACCUCGGAUCAGGUAGGAGUACCCGCUGAACUUAAGCAUAUCAAUAAGCG
Molecule: ribosomal RNA, 624 nt
Filed under: Thermomyces lanuginosus
Lineage: Eukaryota; Fungi; Ascomycota; Eurotiomycetes; Eurotiales; Trichocomaceae
Description: eukaryotic LSU rRNA
Rfam family: 5.8S ribosomal RNA (bases 243-396)
Source: RNAcentral